This 252-nucleotide ribosomal RNA is filed under the name uncultured bacterium. Its description in RNAcentral is "partial 16S ribosomal RNA". It matches the Rfam family "Bacterial small subunit ribosomal RNA", at positions 524 to 775 of the family's 1533-position model. The record is from RNAcentral.
UACGUAGGGUGCAAGCGUUAAUCGGAAUUACUGGGCGUAAAGCGUGCGCAGGCGGUUUUUUAAGACAGGUGUGAAAUCCCCGGGCUUAACCUGGGAAUGGCAUUUGUGACUGGAAGGCUAGAGUGUGUCAGAGGGGGGUAGAAUUCCACGUGUAGCAGUGAAAUGCGUAGAGAUGUGGAGGAAUACCGAUGGCGAAGGCAGCCCCCUGGGAUAACACUGACGCUCAUGCACGAAAGCGUGGGGAGCAAACAG